Molecule: ribosomal RNA, 433 nt
Filed under: uncultured bacterium
Lineage: Bacteria
Description: partial 16S ribosomal RNA
Rfam family: Bacterial small subunit ribosomal RNA
Source: RNAcentral
AACGAACGCUGGCGGCAUGCCUAACACAUGCAAGUCGAACGAGACCUUCGGGUCUAGUGGCGCACGGGUGCGUAACGCGUGGGAACCUGCCCUUAGGUUCGGAAUAACUCCCCGAAAGGGGUGCUAAUACCGGAUAAUGUCUUCGGACCAAAGAUUUAUCGCCUUUGGAUGGGCCCGCGUUGGAUUAGCUAGUUGGUAGGGUAAAAGCCUACCAAGGCGACGAUCUAUAGCUGGUCUGAGAGGAUGAUCAGCCACACUGGGACUGAGACACGGCCCAGACCCAUACGGGAGGAGGCAGGGGGGAAUAUUGAAAAAGGGGCAAAGGCCUAAUACAGCAAGGCCCGGGGAGUAAAGAAGCCGUUGGGGUUGAAAAGUUUUUUUACCAGGGAGAAAAAUAACAGAACGGGAAAAAUAAGCCCCGACAAACCCCGUC